GAGUGUAAGGAAGAGGCUGUCUGUGCCAUUAUGUGUGCGUCGGUCAAGUACAAUAUCCGGGGUCCUGCCCUCAUCCCAAGAAUGAAGACCAAGCACCGAAUCUACUACAUCACCCUCUUCUCCGUUGUCCUCCUGGGCCUCAUUGCCACUGGCAUGUUUCAGUUCUGGCCGCAUUCCAUCGAGUCGUCAAAUGACUGGAGCGUAGAGAAGCGCAGUGUCCGGGACGUGCCGGUGGUCAGGCUGCCGGCCGACAGCCCCAUCCCCGAGCGGGGCGAUCUUAGUUGCAGAAUGCACACGUGUUUUGAUGUCUACCGCUGUGGUUUCAACCCAAAGAACAAAAUCAAGGUGUAUAUCUACCCUCUGAAAAAGUACGUGGAUGACUUUGGCGUCCCAGUCAGCAACACCAUCUCCCGGGAGUACAAUGAACUGCUCACGGCUAUCUCAGACAGUGACUACUAUACCGACGACAUCACCCGGGCCUGCCUGUUUGUCCCGUCCAUCGAUGUGCUGAACCAGAACACGUUCCGCAUUAAGGAGACGGCGCAAGCGCUGGCCCAGCUCUCUAGAUGGGAUCGAGGUACAAACCAUCUGCUGUUCAACAUGCUGCCUGGAGGUCCCCCAGAUUAUAACACAGCUCUGGAUGUCCCCAGAGACAGGGCUCUGUUGGCUGGUGGUGGCUUCUCCACAUGGACUUACCGGCAAGGCUACGAUGUCAGCAUUCCUGUCUAUAGUCCGCUGUCCGCUGAGGUGGACCUUCCAGAGAAAGGAUCAGGUCCCAGGCGAUACUUCCUCCUAUCAUCCCAGAUGGCUCUCCAUCCUGAGUACCGAGAGGACCUGGAAGCCCUCCAGGCCAAACAUGGAGAGUCAGUGAUAGUACUAGAUAAAUGCACCAACCUCUCCGAGGACGUCCUUUCUGUCCGUAAGCGCUGCCACAAGCACCAAGUCUUCGAUUACCCUCAGGUGCUGCAGGAAGCUACUUUCUGUGUGGUCCUUCGUGGAGCUCGGCUGGGCCAGGCGGUAUUGAGUGAUGUAUUACGAGCUGGCUGUGUCCCAGUUGUCAUUGCAGACUCCUAUAUUUUGCCUUUCUCUGAAGUUCUUGACUGGAAGAGGGCAUCUGUGGUUGUGCCAGAAGAGAAGAUAUCAGACGUAUACAGCAUUUUGCAGAGCAUCCCCCAAAGACAGAUUGAAGAAAUGCAGAAACAGGCACGGUGGUUCUGGGACGCGUACUUCCAGUCCAUCAAAGCCAUUGCCCUGGCCACCCUGCAGAUUAUCAACGACCGGAUCUAUCCAUACGCUGCCAUCUCCUAUGAGGAAUGGAACGACCCUCCGGCCGUGAAGUGGGGUAGCGUAAGCAACCCACUCUUCCUCCCGUUGAUCCCACCGCAGUCUCAAGGUUUCACUGCCAUCGUCCUCACCUACGACCGAGUAGAGAGUCUCUUCCGGGUCAUCACUGAAGUGUCCAAGGUGCCCAGUCUAUCCAAGCUGCUAGUUGUCUGGAAUAAUCAAAAUAAAAUCCCUCCAGAAGAGUCUCUCUGGCCCAAAAUCCGGGUUCCAUUAAAAGUUGUGAGGACAGCUGAAAAUAAGUUGAGUAACCGUUUCUUCCCGUACGAUGAAAUCGAGACUGAGGCCGUCCUGGCCAUCGAUGAUGAUAUCAUUAUGCUGACCUCUGAUGAGCUGCAGUUUGGUUAUGAGGACUCGUGGUGUGCCCUCUUCAUUAAAUGUCUGAAGAAGCUGAUGGCUGUAUGCUCUCUUGGAGCCUGUACUAUCUGAGUGAAUGACAGUCCCCUCUGAGUACCUACCCUGGGCCUGGCCGUAAUACUGAAAGGGACAUCUGUCUGUCUUUCCUCCAUCGUUCACUUAAGUACCUGAGGAGCUGCCUUUGUAGAGAACCUUAUCUUCAGAAGCGGGAACGGGACUCAUGGUUCGUUUCUUUCUAUGAGCACCCCUCUCCCUGUAAGGUAAGGCCAGAGGUUCUUUCAGAGGAGACACAUGAAAGGUUGUGGUCAGAGGUGAGUCAUUCUUUCUCAGAGACUUCUCUCCCGGGAUAGUCUCCACAUCGCUUCAGGCUCCCUGUUCUCAGCCUGUAGGAGAGCUGAGUAAUCGGUUAGGUCUGUCCCGUGUCCAGCUUGCAUUGAUUUACACCCCCAAGACUCACGGGACCUGGAGGGAAAAUAGUCCGUGCGUGCGGCUGCCGCAGUGAGAACUGCUGAAAGAAGAUCCAGAGCAGCGGCCGGGAGCCCGCAGAGGUGCUGAGAGAGGCUUCAGUGCAGGCCGACCUCUCAGAGCCUUUCCAAAGUGCCCAGUCCCCAUCGGAGAACAAGCCAAACAAAUAUUAAGGGAAGGAAAUCGAAUACAUAUACCGAACCGUGAAAUAACAUCUGAUCGUUUGAAAAAGCGCCCAGUUGGGAAUUACAAUAGAGUGACACUUUUUCCUUCCCCACUGAGCACAUUAGAAAUAACAAGCUCGGAAUUUGUUUACACAGCCAUUAAUGAAACCUCAAAUGUAGGGCGAAGGACUCUGGCUCCCAAAGAGAAGGGGACACGCUUUCUGCUGCCACAUCUUACCGUCAAAGGGUGUCUCCUGCACACAGACUCCCAUCCCAAAUAAGUCAGAGCCUCACGGAUUACAAGGUUCCAGUAGGACCGGGAUGUCAUGUGUGGAAUCUCGCUCGUUUGCUACACAGCUGACGAGAAUUCCUCCUUUUAAUGGCGUAAGCAUGUGGCUUUCCUUGCUAAAUGGGAACCACAUUCAUGAAGAGCCUUCAGCUUUUAGAAGAUGAGUACUGCUGGGGGCAAAGGGUUCUGUCGUAUUCUUCAGCUUCCUUUCCUCACCCGUCUGCGCUCGACUCGGUCAUUCAGUGACUCUUACCACCUCUACCACUAACACCACAGAGCCGAAGAACAUGGCACUGUGACUUAAGACAUCAUCUGAAUUCUUUGUUUUAUAAGUGAGGGACCGAGCUUCAGGAAACGAGAUGCUUUUUCAGAUCAGAAGAGUGGGAAAUCACUCUGGGAAUUAGGACUCAGCUUGAACUAGCAGCGUCACCUUAGGACAGCCACUUCCUCUCCAGCUCUGAAUUUUCUCUUCCAUGCAGUGAGGGAACUGUGUCAAAUGAUCUCUGCCUUCCAAAUGAUCUCUGACGGCAAAUCUGAGGUAGUGUAGGCAGGGCCCCAGCGGCUCAGAUCAUAAAAGUGUGCUGCUUCUUGUCAUCCACAGAGGCACGUAGUAAUGCCAUCUGGUGAGAUGGUACAGAUACGGGAGGAGGGGACUAUUUUAAAGCCACCUUUUUCAGCCAUGUCUUCCUAAUAGUGGUACCUGACGAAAGAUCUAAUAGCAGACAUUCCUCUGUCAACUGUGGCCAGCUCCAGGCUGUGUUUUUGCCUUCAUCACUGCCCCAGGCCUGAAGCAGGAACUUGAAAGGAUUGGAGAUCAUGUCCCCAGCACCAAGGCACUAACCUCAAGCCAGACUGGGGCAAAUAGGAUCUCUGCCAAAACCCCAGAAGCCUUCCCAUGAUACCGGUUUUCCUGCUUGACUUAUUUUAAGCAGAAUCCUGCCUUGGGUUGGAAAGGUCUCUCGGGCAGACUGACGUGAUUGAACAGGUAGAUCUAAAUGCAUAACACAGCAUGUACAUGUGUUUGUCAAAACCAGUCAGCAUUAGAGAAGUCCAGGUGAUAACUUUAGGGCGCCCUUGCUCUAGAUGUCUAGCAUUAGCAUUUAAUUGUGUCCCAGAUGUGGACAAAAACUCUUUGGCUUUCUGCAAAGUGCCCCCUUGACAGAAACUACCAACCACCAGUGUAAUGAAAAGCAUGAGCUGAAAAUGAAGCCAAUCAGCCCCUUCAUUCCACUUCAUUUCAGGAAAUUCCAAAUAUAAAAGGUGAGCUUUGUUCCCAGAGGGCUGAGAGUGAAUCCACUAACUGGCUCCUCUGUGGAAACCGGCUAGGAAUUGGAAUCCAGCCAGCUACCCCUUUCCCAUCUGGGCAGCAUGCAACACAAGCCUGAAGAGAAGAAGGGCCAGUAAUUCAAAGACAUUUGCAAGUUGGGUUCUUGCAGCUCUGCCUUGGUUAAAAUAAGCAUGUGACCACAGGGUCUGGGUUGGUUCAUAGAGUUCUGUUGGUUAGGGAUUGUCAAAAUGCAGGGGCGUGUGCAAGGAGAAAAAUGAAGCCCCGGCCCAGUUUGGUACAUCCUGGAUCCACGUCUCCCCUCCCCCCCUCCCAUUUACCUUACCCCUUCUUAGUCCAUCUCUUGGCUCACGAAUCCUAAUACAUGUGGUAUCCGUCUCACCCAGUAGCAAUAUCCCUACGGAACUGUGCCUUUGAAAGUGUGAUGACUGUAGCAGCCACUUCAGAGAGUUACUUCUCUCCUAGAACUGAUCCAUGAUUUCCUAAUUGUAUAUCCCAGAUGGGCACCACCUGUGGUUACACCUUCCCCCUUCUCCCCAGUCAGUUUCCUGAAUCUGAUUGUGGUUAGCACACACCCUGAGUUUAAAAUGCACUCUCUAAGCUGGCUCAGGAUACAGUGCAUCAUCCUCUUCUCAGGAACACUCAUGAGCACCCAUAUGUGUACGGCAUUUUAAACGAAGUUUAAUCCUGCAGGCCAUGCUCUUUAGAGACUUCCAGCUCACAGCUGAUCACGGUUAAUGAGUUAGUUCCCGUGGGAAUGGGUUAGUGAGGAAAAAGAUACAAGGUUUUAGCCCUAAGUGGACAUUAGAGGUCACCUAAUCUGACCCCUCAUUUUGUAGGUGGCAAAAUGAAAGCGGGCGCCUCGAGUAGGUCCAUUGCACAGCUCCUCACUGGCAGAGCUAGUUCUUGAGCCACUUAAACCAUGUCCCGCAUUGUAUCUUCUGUAGGAGGUAAUCUAGGCUGCCUCCUGUGCCCUUUAAACAAAGAUAGAAGAUCUCAGUUUGAACUUUUGUGGGAACCCAAAAAAACCUCAGGAAGCUUAAAAAAAAAAAAAAAACGAUAACUCCAAAAACAGCCAGAAGUCCAGAGGAAAAAAUUUUCAUAUUCCUGGUAA
Pteropus alecto (black flying fox) is the source of this 5015-nucleotide RNA transcript. It is a transcript of the gene named exostosin glycosyltransferase 2, with no coding region annotated. The record is from RefSeq and is a predicted model, not a curated record. Lineage: Eukaryota; Metazoa; Chordata; Mammalia; Chiroptera; Pteropodidae. The transcript has 11 exons.